UGGGGAAUAUUGCACAAUGGGCGCAAGCCUGAUGCAGCCAUGCCGCGUGUGUGAAGAAGGCCUUCGGGUUGUAAAGCACUUUCAGCGGGGAGGAAGGCGAUAAGGUUAAUAACCUUGUCGAUUGACGUUACCCGCAGAAGAAGCACCGGCUAACUCCGUGCCAGCAGCCGCGGUAAUACGGAGGGUGCAAGCGUUAAUCGGAAUUACUGGGCGUAAAGCGCACGCAGGCGGUUUGUUAAGUCAGAUGUGAAAUCCCCGGGCUUAACCCGGGAAUUGCAUCUGAUACUGGUCAGCUAGAGUCUUGUAGAGGGGGGUAGAAUUCCAUGUGUAGCGGUGAAAUGCGUAGAGAUGUGGAGGAAUACCGGUGGCGAAGGCGGCCCCCUGGACAAAGACUGACGCUCAGGUGCGAAAGCGUGGGGAGCAAACAGG
RNAcentral lists this ribosomal RNA (429 nucleotides) under Chloroflexota bacterium. RNAcentral describes it as "Chloroflexi bacterium partial 16S ribosomal RNA". It matches the Rfam family "Bacterial small subunit ribosomal RNA", at positions 355 to 776 of the family's 1533-position model. Lineage: Bacteria; Bacillati; Chloroflexota. The record is from RNAcentral.